Molecule: microRNA, 20 nt
Filed under: Callorhinchus milii (elephant shark)
Lineage: Eukaryota; Metazoa; Chordata; Chondrichthyes; Chimaeriformes; Callorhinchidae
Description: eshark_NOVEL_9
Source: RNAcentral
CUUGAACUCGCGUCUUGGCU